RNAcentral lists this ribosomal RNA (581 nucleotides) under Hymenoscyphus fraxineus. RNAcentral's name for it is "eukaryotic LSU rRNA". It matches the Rfam family "Eukaryotic large subunit ribosomal RNA", at positions 49 to 644 of the family's 3401-position model. The record is from RNAcentral. Lineage: Eukaryota; Fungi; Ascomycota; Leotiomycetes; Helotiales; Helotiaceae.
UACGGAGGAAAAGAAACCAACAGGGAUUACCUCAGUAACGGCGAGUGAAGCGGUAACAGCUCAAAUUUGAAAUCUGGCGCUUUCAGCGUCCGAGUUGUAAUUUGUAGAAGAUGCUUUGGGUGUGGCUCCGGUCUAAGUUCCUUGGAACAGGACGUCAUAGAGGGUGAGAAUCCCGUAUGUGACUGGCUGCCUUCGCCCGUGUAAAGCUCUUUCGACGAGUCGAGUUGUUUGGGAAUGCAGCUCUAAAUGGGAGGUAUAUUUCUUCUAAAGCUAAAUAUUGGCCAGAGACCGAUAGCGCACAAGUAGAGUGAUCGAAAGAUGAAAAGCACUUUGGAAAGAGAGUUAAACAGUACGUGAAAUUGUUGAAAGGGAAGCGCUUGCAACCAGACUUGCCUGCGGUCGAUCAUCCUGGGUUCUCCCUGGUGCACUCGAUCGUGGUCAGGCCAGCAUCGGUUUCGGUGGUGGGAUAAAGGCCUUGGGAAUGUAGCAGUCUUCGGGCUGUGUUAUAGCCCUCGGUGCAAUGCCGCCUACCGGGACCGAGGACCGCGCUUCGGCUAGGAUGCUGGCGUAAUGGUUGUAAG